GAUUAAGUUAUUAAGGGCGCACGGUGGAUGCCUUGGCACUAGAAGCCGAUGAAGGACGUUACUAACGACGAUAUGCUUUGGGGAGCUGUAAGUAAGCUUUGAUCCAGAGAUUUCCGAAUGGGGAAACCCAGCAUGAGUUAUGUCAUGUUAUCGAUAUGUGAAUACAUAGCAUAUCAGAAGGCACACCCGGAGAACUGAAACAUCUUAGUACCCGGAGGAAGAGAAAGAAAAUUCGAUUCCCUUAGUAGCGGCGAGCGAAACGGGAAGAGCCCAAACCAACAAGCUUGCUUGUUGGGGUUGUAGGACACUCUAUACGGAGUUACAAAGGACGACAUUAGACGAAUCAUCUGGAAAGAUGAAUCAAAGAAGGUAAUAAUCCUGUAGUCGAAAAUGUUGUCUCUCUUGAGUGGAUCCUGAGUACGACGGAGCACGUGAAAUUCCGUCGGAAUCUGGGAGGACCAUCUCCUAAGGCUAAAUACUCUCUAGUGACCGAUAGUGAACCAGUACCGUGAGGGAAAGGUGAAAAGCACCCCGGAAGGGGAGUGAAAUAGAACCUGAAACCGUGUGCUUACAAGUAGUCAGAGCCCGUUAAUGGGUGAUGGCGUGCCUUUUGUAGAAUGAACCGGCGAGUUACGAUUUGAUGCAAGGUUAAGCAGUAAAUGUGGAGCCGUAGCGAAAGCGAGUCUGAAUAGGGCGUUUAGUAUUUGGUCGUAGACCCGAAACCAGGUGAUCUACCCUUGGUCAGGUUGAAGUUCAGGUAACACUGAAUGGAGGACCGAACCGACUUACGUUGAAAAGUGAGCGGAUGAACUGAGGGUAGCGGAGAAAUUCCAAUCGAACCUGGAGAUAGCUGGUUCUCUCCGAAAUAGCUUUAGGGCUAGCCUCAAGUGAUGAUUAUUGGAGGUAGAGCACUGUUUGGACGAGGGGCCCCUCUCGGGUUACCGAAUUCAGACAAACUCCGAAUGCCAAUUAAUUUAACUUGGGAGUCAGAACAUGGGUGAUAAGGUCCGUGUUCGAAAGGGAAACAGCCCAGACCACCAGCUAAGGUCCCAAAAUAUAUGUUAAGUGGAAAAGGAUGUGGCGUUGCCCAGACAACUAGGAUGUUGGCUUAGAAGCAGCCAUCAUUUAAAGAGUGCGUAAUAGCUCACUAGUCGAGUGACACUGCGCCGAAAAUGUACCGGGGCUAAACAUAUUACCGAAGCUGUGGAUUGUCCUUUGGACAAUGGUAGGAGAGCGUUCUAAGGGCGUUGAAGCAUGAUCGUAAGGACAUGUGGAGCGCUUAGAAGUGAGAAUGCCGGUGUGAGUAGCGAAAGACGGGUGAGAAUCCCGUCCACCGAUUGACUAAGGUUUCCAGAGGAAGGCUCGUCCGCUCUGGGUUAGUCGGGUCCUAAGCUGAGGCCGACAGGCGUAGGCGAUGGAUAACAGGUUGAUAUUCCUGUACCACCUAUAAUCGUUUUAAUCGAUGGGGGGACGCAGUAGGAUAGGCGAAGCGUGCGAUUGGAUUGCACGUCUAAGCAGUAAGGCUGAGUAUUAGGCAAAUCCGGUACUCGUUAAGGCUGAGCUGUGAUGGGGAGAAGACAUUGUGUCUUCGAGUCGUUGAUUUCACACUGCCGAGAAAAGCCUCUAGAUAGAAAAUAGGUGCCCGUACCGCAAACCGACACAGGUAGUCAAGAUGAGAAUUCUAAGGUGAGCGAGCGAACUCUCGUUAAGGAACUCGGCAAAAUGACCCCGUAACUUCGGGAGAAGGGGUGCUCUUUAGGGUUAACG
This 1767-nucleotide ribosomal RNA is filed under the name Staphylococcus aureus. RNAcentral's name for it is "partial 23S ribosomal RNA". It matches the Rfam family "Bacterial large subunit ribosomal RNA", at positions 1 to 1766 of the family's 2925-position model. Lineage: Bacteria; Bacillati; Bacillota; Bacilli; Caryophanales; Staphylococcaceae. The record is from RNAcentral.